GACGAACGCUGGCGGCGUGCCUAAUACAUGCCAGUAGAACGCUGAAGGAGGAGCUUGCUUCUCUGGAUGAGUUGCGAACGGGUGAGUAACGCGUAGGUAACCUGCCUGGUAGCGGGGGAUAACUAUUGGAAACGAUAGCUAAUACCGCAUAAGAGUAGAUGUUGCAUGACAUUUGCUUAAAAGGUGCAAUUGCAUCACUACCAGAUGGACCUGCGUUGUAUUAGCUAGUUGGUGGGGUAACGGCUUACCAAGGCGACGAUACAUAGCCGACCUGAGAGGGUGAUCGGCCACACUGGGACUGAGACACGGCCCAGACUCCUACGGGAGGCAGCAGUAGGGAAUCUUCGGCAAUGGACGGAAGUCUGACCGAGCAACGCCGCGUGAGUGAAGAAGGGUUUCGGAUCGUAAAGCUCUGUUGUAAGAGAAGAACGAGUGUGAGAGUGGAAAGUUCACACUGUGACGGUAUCUUACCAGAAAGGGACGGCUAACUACGUG
This 495-nucleotide ribosomal RNA is filed under the name uncultured bacterium. RNAcentral's name for it is "partial 16S ribosomal RNA". It matches the Rfam family "Bacterial small subunit ribosomal RNA", at positions 28 to 507 of the family's 1533-position model. The record is from RNAcentral.